Molecule: ribosomal RNA, 330 nt
Filed under: uncultured eukaryote
Lineage: Eukaryota
Description: partial 18S ribosomal RNA
Rfam family: Eukaryotic small subunit ribosomal RNA
Source: RNAcentral
CCCUUAGAUGUUCUGGGCCGCACGCGUGCUACACUGAUGCAUUCAACGAGUCUAAAACCUGGUCUGAUAGGGCUGGGUAAUCUUUUGAAAGUGCAUCGUGAUUGGGAUAGAUGAUUGCAAUUCUUCAUCUUCAACGAGGAAUGCCUAGUAAACGCAAGUCAUCAGCUUGCAUUGAUUACGUCCCUGCCCUUUGUACACACCGCCCGUCGCUCCUACCGAUUGAAUGAUCCGAUGAAUACCAUGGAUUGAGAGUACGAAUAGGUUUGCUUAUUUCUGCUGCUCGAGAAGUGGAGUAAAUCUUAUCAUUUAGAGGAAGGAGAAGUCGUAACA